This 71-nucleotide transfer RNA is filed under the name Ornithorhynchus anatinus (platypus). It matches the Rfam family "tRNA". From Rfam's summary of the family: Transfer RNA (tRNA) molecules are approximately 80 nucleotides in length. Their secondary structure includes four short double-helical elements and three loops (D, anti-codon, and T loops). The record is from Rfam by way of RNAcentral. Lineage: Eukaryota; Metazoa; Chordata; Mammalia; Monotremata; Ornithorhynchidae.
AGCAGUGUGGCUUAGUGGAAAGAGCACGGCUUGGGAGUCGGAAGUCAUGGGUUCUAAUCCCAGCUCUGCCA